UCCAGACACCUAUUAUCAUUUAGGUCCGCUACUUCUUCCCCGAGGAACUCGCAAAGCCGUCUCUAUUUGUGAUUUCUCAGCUUGGUGUUCCUUUCUCUACAAGCCACACAGCACAUACCAUCUACGUGUACUCAACAGUGAGAAAAUCAGUGACUUUCUCCGUCCUCUCUUCCCCUCUCCAAGUUGGAGGAUCCAUCUAGCCAGCGGGGAGCGCGGGAAAGGUUCUGGUUCAAGGCCGCUUUGCCCCAGGAUCCCGGAGCUCCGCUGAACUGGAACUUUGGGAAUACGCAGGUUAUUAAAAGACCGUGACUUCGAUUCCGGUGAUCUUUAUUGGAUUGCUUGCUCUGGAGGAAGCUAGAGGCUACAGCAUGAAGCAACCCGUGGAGACACCUGUGUGAAUGAGCCUAGAGAAGGAUCAUCCAAAGCUUUCCGGCAGCCUUGCAAGGAGCCCCAAAAAGGGAUCCUCCCCAGUGAGGCUUCUAGGCGGCCACACCCUGCUCAUCUGCUCAUCGCUGAGAUU
This is a long non-coding RNA of Suricata suricatta (meerkat), 520 nucleotides long. RefSeq lists it as uncharacterized. The transcript is spliced from 3 exons. NCBI's taxonomy places the organism in Eukaryota, Metazoa, Chordata, Mammalia, Carnivora, Herpestidae. The record is from RefSeq and is a predicted model, not a curated record.